AUAGUCAACAAGUACCGUAAAG
This 22-nucleotide non-coding RNA is filed under the name Mus musculus (house mouse). The record is from RNAcentral. Lineage: Eukaryota; Metazoa; Chordata; Mammalia; Rodentia; Muridae.